AUUGAACGCUAGCGGAAUGCUUUACACAUGCAAGUCGAACGGCAGCACGGAGAGCUUGCUCUCUGGUGGCGAGUGGCGAACGGGUGAGUAAUGUAUCGGAACAUACCCAGUAGCGGGGGAUAACUACUCGAAAGAGUGGCUAAUACCGCAUACGCCUACGGGGAAGGGGGAGUCUUAGACGUCUCACUAUUGGAGUGGCCGAUAUCGGAUUAGCUAGUUGGUGGGGUUAAAGGG
This 234-nucleotide ribosomal RNA is filed under the name uncultured bacterium. RNAcentral describes it as "partial 16S ribosomal RNA". It matches the Rfam family "Bacterial small subunit ribosomal RNA", at positions 30 to 263 of the family's 1533-position model. The record is from RNAcentral.